Long non-coding RNA from Podarcis raffonei (Aeolian wall lizard), 2439 nucleotides. RefSeq lists it as uncharacterized. The transcript is spliced from 2 exons. The record is from RefSeq and is a predicted model, not a curated record. Lineage: Eukaryota; Metazoa; Chordata; Lepidosauria; Squamata; Lacertidae.
GGCCAGGGCCAGUAAAGGGCUGAUGCUUUUCGGCCCAGGCUCACUUUGUUUUCUUACCAGGUUCACCGCUGGACUUCGCUCUUGGUCUUGGUUAGAGCUCAGGACAAGGACACUCAGCAUAUUACAUUAAGGACAACAGUUAGAAAUUACCUUUUAUUUAACACAUCUGAAUCACUAUUCCCUGCAAAUUGCUGGAUGGUGCACAUUCAAGGUCAGUUUGCAUUAUGCUCUGCAGCACGUGGUUUGAGUGAAUGCUUCUUUAACUUGCCUUGCAUGUUUUAUUAAGCUUCUGUAUGAUGAGUCAAGAUGAAGCAUCUACAGAUCUCAUGUCACGCUCAUGGGCAAAGGGACUGAGCCACAUGAUGUCCUGAUCCAUAGUGAUGUCCACCACUAAAGGAAGGUGAUAACCCAAACAAGGUGGAAAUCAGUAGGCCAGGAACCAGAAGGGAAGGUAACAGAUGAAUAGGGUAGGCAAAGCAAGGAUAAUGACCAAGAUUAGCUAAGGCAGGAGUUACACAGUGGUUUCUUAGAGCAACUGGAAGAGAUGGCAGCCUGUCUGCUUUAUGCUGCCCUUGGACUGUUAAAGGACUGGUGUGUUCCUCUAGACUGGAGUUUCAAGCUGUGAGGACUCCCUAGAGCAGGGGUCAGCAAACUUUUCCAGCCGGGGGCCGGUCCACUGUCCCUCAGACCUUGUGGGGGGCCAGACUAUAUUUUGAAGGGGGGGACGGACGAAUUCCUAUGCCCCACAAAUAACCCAGAGAUGCAUUUUAAAUAAAAGGACACCGAACCGCCCGCAGGCCAGAUUUAGAAGGCGAUUGGGUCGAAUCUGGCCCCCGAGCCUUAGUUAGGCAACCCAUGCCCUAGAGGAAGCCUUGGGGGUCUCCUGAUCCCUCCAAGGAGUCUGUGGUCUGGUCAUCAAGAGUCCAGUGGCAGGAGGAUCUCCUCAAGGUUCAGCACAUGAGAUGUGCCAGCAGUUUCACAGAGGAAAGGUUGGGGAGUGGCUCCAACUCCUUCUCAGGACUACUGUUGUAGAAGGAUCUGCAUCUGAGGAUUGCUGGUCUGGGGCUGCUGGAGCAAGCCCUUUAAUUGAACUCUGUGAAUUUAAAUUGCUCUCUAGCUUCUCCUGUAUUUGUUCCACCAAAGAAAAGUGGAAGAAACUGAGGAGCACUGGCCCUGCUUUGUCUUGCAUCUACUACUUUGUAUUUUCACUUUUGGAAACUACUUUUGAGAUGAUGUUCACUCUUAACAAUAUCUAGAUCAGAGGCAGACAUUGCAAUGUCCUCCACAUGUUGUUGGAUUACAACUCCCAUUAGCCCCAGCCAGAAUAGCCAAUGGUCACAGGUGAUGGAAAUUGUAGUCCAGCAUCACAUGGAGAGGCACCAUAUAGGCUUCCCUGAUUUAGAUUUAAAUUUAGCAAGGUAUGGGAAUCAUUUUACUUUACUCUUCUGAUGGUUACCUCUCAUAUUGUUCCCUAGUUCAAUUGGCAUUGAAAACUAGGCAUAACUUGCUACAGGAGGAUUCAAUUGCAUGAGGUCAUACCACGUUGCACACAUAGCUGUAAUAACUUAGAGUGCAGUACUCAAUGAUAAGAAAAUAUAUUUAGAUGCCCUUAAGUUCAUUAGAGAUUGCCAAAGGUCGCACUUUAUGUUCCACUAAUUUUAUUGAAGUUUAUUGUUAUGGCAGUGACCUGAACUCUGGCUGUGUGGCCUUUAACACAUAGUAUAUAUAUAUUCUGCAAGAAAUUCAAUUUUAAUUUUAGAUAACAUAUGGUUAAGUUAUUGCUUCAUUAAUCAAAAUCGGUUGAUCAACUGUAAGCUCAAGUAACAAAAGUAUCUAACUUGACUGAAAGCUGGCUCAAAUACUCAGCAGAAAUUUCCAUAUGAUACUGUGUAAAUUAAACGCGUAUAUGGCUCCACUAUACAAAAAGCAAGAUUUCAAACUGUUCAAUUAAUGCCUAACAAAUGGCAUAUUUUAAGCAAUAUCUGAGAGCCUCCAACUGCACCCUUCAUGUCCCUGGAGAGUAGAGAUGUUGCUUCAUUAGGCCGACAUAACCACCUGGUGUUGAAUUUCCAGUGUCUUGAGAAUUUGUAACAUCUGGUACAUACUGUGAUCUCCUUUUACGUAUGUUUCAUCUUUUAUUGUAAUUUUAUGACAAAUGGAUUAAUUAAUAUGGUGUACAUUAUUUGAGAUAUUCAGCUUAAUAUAAAGCAACAUUUAGAACACAGAUGCACCCAAAAAAUUGAAAUACCUUAAGAAAUGCUGCUAAUAUUGGUCAAUUAUUGUUAUUCUGUGGCAACUGUUGUUUGUGGUUAACUAUGGAUUAUGGCCGCCAAAAAUUGCAUGACAAUAUGUAAACAAAAAUCUUCACCUGUUUUCAGUUUUUAUAUUUUAAGAUUUCUUCUUAAACAAAAAAUAAAAUAAACUGAUCCCUUCCUGCAA